This 497-nucleotide ribosomal RNA is filed under the name uncultured bacterium. RNAcentral's name for it is "partial 16S ribosomal RNA". It matches the Rfam family "Bacterial small subunit ribosomal RNA", at positions 28 to 507 of the family's 1533-position model. The record is from RNAcentral.
GAUGAACGCUGGCGGCGUGCCUAAUACAUGCAAGUCGAGCGAACGGACGAGAAGCUUGCUUCUCUGAUGUUAGCGGCGGACGGGUGAGUAACACGUGGAUAACCUACCUAUAUGACUGGGAUAACUUCGGGAAACCGGAGCUAAUACCGGAUAAUAUUUUGAACCGCAUGGUUCAAAAGUGAAAGACGGUCUUGUUGUCACUUAUAGAUGGAUCCGCGCUGCAUUAGCUAGUUGGUAAGGUAACGGCUUACCAAGGCAACGAUGCAUAGCCGACCUGAGAGGGUGAUCGGCCACACUGGAACUGAGACACGGUCCAGACUCCUACGGGAGGCAGCAGUAGGGAAUCUUCCGCAAUGGGCGAAAGCCUGACGGAGCAACGCCGCGUGAGUGAUGAAGGUCUUCGGAUCGUAAAACUCUGUUAUUAGGGAAGAACAUAUGUGUAAGUAACUGUGCACAUCUUGACGGUACCUAAUCAGAAAGCCACGGCUAACUACGUG